GACGAACGCUGGCGGCGCGCUUAACACAUGCAAGUCGAACGGAAAGGCCUGCUUUCCCUUGUGGAUUGCGGUUACUCGAGUGGCGAACGGGUGAGUAACACGUGAGUGAUCUGCCCCCAACUUGGGUAUAAGCCUGGGAAACUGGGUCUAAUUCCCGAUAGGACUGCAGGGUGGUGCCUGUGGUGGAAAACGAUUUUCUAGUGGUUGGGGAUGAGCUCGCGGCCUAUCAGCUUGUUGGUGGGGUAAUGGCCUACCAAGGCGGCGACGGGUAGCCGGCCUGAGAGGGUGGACGGCCACAUUGGGACUGAGAUACGGCCCAGACUCCUACGGGAGGCAGCAGUGGGGAAUAUUGCACAAUGGGCGGAAGCCUGAUGCAGCGACGCCGCGUGGGGGAUGACGGCCUUCGGGUUGUAAACUCCUUUCGACCGCGAGGAAGCCACCUGGUUGGAAGGGUGGUGACGGUAGUGGUAGAAGAAGCACCGGCUAACUACGUG
RNAcentral lists this ribosomal RNA (494 nucleotides) under uncultured bacterium. RNAcentral's name for it is "partial 16S ribosomal RNA". It matches the Rfam family "Bacterial small subunit ribosomal RNA", at positions 28 to 507 of the family's 1533-position model. The record is from RNAcentral.